Molecule: long non-coding RNA, 3442 nt
Organism: Oryctolagus cuniculus (rabbit)
Lineage: Eukaryota; Metazoa; Chordata; Mammalia; Lagomorpha; Leporidae
Source: Ensembl
GGCCAGGAGCUGGAAGCCACACACCCCCUGCCCUAUGUAAUCCUGUCUGCUUGUCAAAUAACCCAUUUCCCAGGAGGUAUUUCCAUUCACCUGGGACAGGUACCAUGUGACCACUCCUCCCAACCUCAAAGAUGGGCAACUGGAGGCUCUCUCUCUGCAGGGAGGAGACAGGUGUGGGGCUCUACUUCCCUCCUACCCACCCCUGCAGGGGAGGAGACAGGUGUGGGGCACUACUUCCCUCCUAACCCCCCUCUCUGCAGGGAGGAGACAGGUGUGGGGCACUACUUCCCUCCUACCCGCCCCCUGCAGGGGAGGAGACAGGUGUGGGGCACUACUUCCCUCCUAUCCCGCCCCCGCAGGGGAGGAGACAGGUGUGGAGCACUACUUCCCUCCUACCCCCCUCUCCCUGCAGGGAGGAGACAGGUGUGGGGCACUACUUCCCUCCUACCCCGCCCCCGCAGGGGAGGAGACAGGUGUGGAGCACUACUUCCCUCCUACCCCCCCUCUCCCUGCAGGGAGGAGACAGGUGUGGGGCUCUACUUCCCUCCUACCCCCCCUCCCUGCAGAGAGGAGACAGGUGCGGGGCACUACUUCCCUCCUACCCCCCUCUCUCUGCAGGGGAGGAGACAGGUGUGGGGCUCUACUUCCCUCCUACCCCCCCUCUGCAGGGAGGAGACAGGUGCGGGGCACUACUUCCUUCCUACCCCCCUCUCUCUGCAGGGAGGAGACAGGUGCAGGGCACUACUUCCCUCCUACCCCCCUCUCUCUGCAGGGGAGGAGACAGGUGUGGGGCUCUACUUCCCUCCUACCCCUUUCCCUUCCCAGCCCACUCUAAUCCUGAACUACACGUGUGUGUUUCUCACCUUUUAAAUGCAUUUUAUCACUUUGUGCGCCAUAUAUAUGCCUGUACUUAGGAUGCUUCCCUAGGUAGCGGCAAGGACCCGAAAUAGGAAUUUAGAUCCCACCUCACAAUAGAUUGAAAAUGGUGAAAUAGUACUUCCCUGAUCCACGUAGCAAGAAUCUAAAAUUCAAAAACAUGACGAAUCCAAGCAGAAUCUAAAAUGCAGAUAUGAAAAAACUUAAGUGUCAUUCACAGGUGGGCUGGAGUGGAAGCAGCAUCCUGGUGGGGCUGCCGUAGCUACUCACAAAAGCUGACUGAAUACUGCUCCUGAGUGCCACAUUCUGUGACUUUGCUUUGGCAGCUUUAAGCACGGUGAGAGAAUUUACACCGUGGAAACUGGCAAACCCUACAAAUAAGGACACCCCCCACACCCGGCCCCAGUGUGUGUCAUUCACCCACACACCACUGAGUGAACAGUCUUAUAAAAGCCAGAGUUUUUCUAGGAAGUAAGGUACUCUAAAAACCAACUUGCUAAAAUUUGAUGGUUUUAAGAGAUCAAUGAUGGGAUGGGUAUUUGGUGCAGCAGUUAAGUCCCCACUUGGGAUGCCCACAUCCCACACUGCAGUGUCGGGGUUCAAGCGCCGACUCUGCCAUCUGGGAUGCAGCCUGGGAUGCAGCUGGCGAGUCAAGCCUGGUGCUUGUCACCCAUAUGGGAGACCCAGACGGAGCUCCUGGCUUCAGCCUGGCCCAUCUCUUGGUGUUGCAAGCAUUUGGGGAGUGAAUCAACAGAUGAGAUCUGUGUCAGUCUGCCUUUCAAGUAAGUACAGUUGGACACUGCCAUGAAAAUAGGAUUAAGUUUAUUGUGGUGUUUGGAGGGUUGUGACAACACUUGGGAUUUUUAAAUACGUCUAGUUUUAAAUAGAUCUAGUUUUAAAGAGGUCUAAUGAAAGAAGAAAGUAUAGUCAACAUUCUUAGCAUGAUCACUUUACACAGAUUUGACAAUGCUGGGGUUAGAAUUCUGUUAGUAUUCACGUCCGUGGUGCAAAAGCGGCAUCUGAGAAACACAUUUUCUGGGAUGUAACCCUGCAUUUAACAAUCACCCCUGCUAUGACCCCAUGGCUUUUUCGCGAAUAACUUUAAACCACUCAAUAGGGGCUGCACUUCUGUUCCCUGGGAGAGGCUGUGGGUCCCCUUGUGGAAGCAGGAACUGCUAUAGCAAUCUCUCCGUUCCUUCUGCUUAAGCUGGCCCAGGGCAGAGUGGGGCCACGUGGGGAGCAAGUGCCUCUUUCUCAGAGGUGUGUCAAGAAGGUAAUUCCCGAAGGCCUCUCACAACCCUGCGUUCUCAUCCUUAGCAGUGAGCCAGGUUAUACAACACUGAAGACUUAAAAGCCUGUGGGGAGAUCUUCCCAGCCAGCCUUACGUGGCAGCCACAUCAGCACCCAAGGGAGAUGCAACAGAAAGCAGUGAUCAUGUUUCUGGGUGGCUCUGGAUCCUGAUUCCCAAGACCUUCUACUCAAUGCUUACAACUAGACAGGAGGAAAUCCCAGGUCCUGCCCUUUGACAGCUAGUCAGACUCCAGACAAUCCAAUAAUGGCAGAGCCAAUUCAUCAGAAGGAAGGUCACUGCUCAAUGACCAAUAGAACCGCCAACAUUUUAAAAUUUUCUAUUGAAUGUUUGAAACAUACAGUGUGAGAACGCACUAUCCCAAGUAUCCAUUACCAACCUCAGUUAUCAAAGGGCCUUGUAUUUCUGCUCUCAUCUACUUAACCCCAUUGCAGGGUUAAAGUGAAUUAUAGAAUUAUACUGUGUCUAAGUUUGCUGUUGUGUAGCUCUUAAAUAAGGACUUUAUAAAGACAAUGUCACACCAGGGAAGGCGUUAUGGUACAGUGGGUUAAAGCCACUGCUUGGGACACUGGCAUCCCAUAUCAGAGUUCUACUUCGGGUCCCAGUUACUCCACAUUUGAUGCAGUUUCCUACAAAUGCAUCCUGAAAUGCAGAAGAUAGCUUAAGUUCUUUAUCGCCUCCACACAUGUGAAGACACAGAUGGAGGUCUGGGCUCUGACUACAGUCUGCUCAGCCUCAGCUGUGCAACCAUCUGAGGAGUGAGCCAGCAGGUGGAAGACUCUUUCCCCCUGCGCUGCCUUUCAGGAUGAAACAUUUAAGACAACAUAGUUCUGUAUCAAGUGGUCUCUCCAAGUUUCCCUAGUCACCUCAGAAAUGUCUACCAUAGGUGUCUUAUUUGAAUCAGGGUCCAAGCUUGAUAUAAGAACCUCAGGCCGGCGCCACAGCUCACUAGGCUAAUCCUCCGCCUUGUGGCGCCGGCACACCGAGUUCUAGUCCCGGUCAGGGCGCCGGAUUCUGUCCUGGUUGCCCCUCUUCCAGUCCAGCUCUCUGCUGUGGCCAGGGAGUGCAGUGGAGGAUGGCCCAAGUGCUUGGGCCCUGCACCCCAUGGGAGACCAGGAGAAGCACCUGGCUCCUGCCAUCGGAUCAGCGUGGUGCGCCGGCCGCGGCGGCCAUUGGCGGGUGAACCAACGGCAAAGGAAGACCUUUCUCUCACUGUCCACUCUGCCUGUCAAAAUAAAAAAAAAACGAACAACCCCA